CCCUUUGGGGUGUGACUGCGUACCUUUUGUAUAAUGGGUCAGCGACUUAUAUUCUGUAGCAAGGUUAACCGAAUAGGGGAGCCGGAGGGAAACCGAGUCUUAAUUGGGCGUUAAGUUGCAGGGUAUAGACCCGAAACCCGGUGAUCUAGCCAUGGGCAGGUUGAAGGUUGGGUAACACUAACUGGAGGACCGAACCGACUAAUGUUGAAAAAUUAGCGGAUGACCUGUGGCUGGGGGUGAAAGGCCAAUCAAACCGGGAGAUAGCUGGUUCUCCCCGAAAGCUAUUUAGGUAGCGCCUCGUGAAUUCAUCUCCGGGGGUAGAGCACUGUUUCGGCUAGGGGGCCAUCCCGGCUUACCAACCCGAUGCAAACUGCGAAUACCGGAGAAUGUUAUCACGGGAGACACACGGCGGGUGCUAACGUCCGUCGUGAAGAGGGAAACAACCCAGACCGCCAGCUAAGGUCCCAAAGUCAUGGUUAAGUGGGAAACGAUGUGGGAAGGCCCAGACAGCCAGGAUGUUGGCUUAGAAGCAGCCAUCAUUUAAAGAAAGCGUAAUAGCUCACUGGUCGAGUCGGCCUGCGCGGAAGAUGUAACGGGGCUAAACCAUGCACCGAAGCUGCGGCAGCGACGCUGAUGCGUUGUUGGGUAGGGGAGCGUUCUGUAAGCCUGCGAAGGUGGCCUGUGAGGGUUGCUGGAGGUAUCAGAAGUGCGAAUGCUGACAUAAGUAACGAUAAAGCGGGUGAAAAGCCCGCUCGCCGGAAGACCAAGGGUUCCUGUCCAACGUUAAUCGGGGCAGGGUGAGUCGACCCCUAAGGCGAGGCCGAAAGGCGUAGUCGAUGGGAAACGGGUUAAUAUUCCCGUACUUGGUGUUACUGCGAAGGGGGGACGGAGAAGGCUAUGUUGGCCGGGCGACGGUUGUCCCGGUUUAAGCGUGUAGGUGUGUGUUCCAGGUAAAUCCGGUUCACUUUAACACUGAGGCGUGAUGACGAGGCACUACGGUGCUGAAGCAACAAAUGCCCUGCUUCCAGGAAAAGCCUCUAAGCAUCAGGUAACAUCAAAUCGUACCCCAAACCGACACAGGUGGUCAGGUAGAGAAUACCAAGGCGCUUGAGAGAACUCGGGUGAAGGAACUAGGCAAAAUGGUGCCGUAACUUCGGGAGAAGGCACGCUGACACGUAGGUGAAGUGAUUUACUCAUGGAGCUGAAGUCAGUCGAAGAUACCAGCUGGCUGCAACUGUUUAUUAAAAACACAGCACUGUGCAAACACGAAAGUGGACGUAUACGGUGUGACGCCUGCCCGGUGCCGGAAGGUUAAUUGAUGGGGUCAGCGCAAGCGAAGCUCCUGAUCGAAGCCCCGGUAAACGGCGGCCGUAACUAUAACGGUCCUAAGGUAGCGAAAUUCCUUGUCGGGUAAGUUCCGACCUGCACGAAUGGCGUAAUGAUGGCCAGGCUGUCUCCACCCGAGACUCAGUGAAAUUGAACUCGCUGUGAAGAUGCAGUGUACCCGCGGCAAGACGGAAAGACCCCGUGAACCUUUACUAUAGCUUGACACUGAACAUUGAGCCUUGAUGUGUAGGAUAGGUGGGAGGCUUUGAAGUGUGGACGCCAGUCUGCAUGGAGCCGACCUUGAAAUACCACCCUUUAAUGUUUGAUGUUCUAACGUGGACCCGUUACCCGGGUUGCGGACAGUGUCUGGUGGGUAGUUUGACUGGGGCGGUCUCCUCCUAAAGAGUAACGGAGGAGCACGAAGGUUGGCUAAUCCUGGUCGGACAUCAGGAGGUUAGUGCAAUGGCAUAAGCCAGCUUGACUGCGAGCGUGACGGCGCGAGCAGGUGCGAAAGCAGGUCAUAGUGAUCCGGUGGUUCUGAAUGGAAGGGCCAUCGCUCAACGGAUAAAAGGUACUCCGGGGAUAACAGGCUGAUACCGCCCAAGAGUUCAUAUCGACGGCGGUGUUUGGCACCUCGAUGUCGGCUCAUCACAUCCUGGGGCUGAAGUAGGUCCCAAGGGUAUGGCUGUUCGCCAUUUAAAGUGGUACGCGAGCUGGGUUUAGAACGUCGUGAGACAGUUCGGUCCCUAUCUGCCGUGGGCGCUGGAGAACUGAGGGGGGCUGCUCCUAGUACGAGAGGACCGGAGUGGACGCAUCACUGGUGUUCGGGUUGUCAUGCCAAUGGCACUGCCCGGUAGCUAAAUGCGGAAGAGAUAAGUGCUGAAAGCAUCUAAGCACGAAACUUGCCCCGA
This 2237-nucleotide ribosomal RNA is filed under the name Salmonella enterica subsp. enterica serovar Livingstone. RNAcentral describes it as "partial 23S ribosomal RNA". It matches the Rfam family "Bacterial large subunit ribosomal RNA", at positions 582 to 2802 of the family's 2925-position model. Lineage: Bacteria; Pseudomonadati; Pseudomonadota; Gammaproteobacteria; Enterobacterales; Enterobacteriaceae. The record is from RNAcentral.